UAGACAGAUUCUGCUUAAGCCUUCAAAAGAAAUUCCAUUUUAGACUAGACACUAAUGUGGAAAACUGGAGACCACAUGACUUCACGUAUCUAGAAGAGACACUGGAGGCAAUCGGGAAGGAAUUCGGUGGUGUGGUCCUUCCACAGUGAGAGGAAAUUUCUGAGAAAAAUCCAGGAAAGAAAGACCCGGAGGUGUGAGAUCACAGUGACUUGAUUCAGGGCAGAAGACAUCUUUAUGUGCAUGCUGAGGGAUGUUGUGGAUCUUGUAGACUGCGUAACCAUCUUUGGGCAAGUUACCCAUGACUUCAUCUGGAUUGAAAAUGACAGGACAUCCCGAUGUGAAGUGACUAAGAGGAGAGCAGUAGGCAGCCUGGCAUCCUCCCAUUCCUCAUGCAGAAGAGGGGGACUUCUCUGCAGAGGAGGAAAAACAAGGCAUCCUAGCUCUCCUGUCUGAUUAGCAUCUACACCCCAUGGCUGCAGGGGGCGACGGUGGAAAGCUUGAACUCGGGCCAGAGAGCAUCACUAGACGUGGAGUGGCUGCUCUUUGCUGAAUGCUCCUAGGCUAGCCAUCUGUGGAAGACACUCUGCAUACACACGAGGAAGUAGCGGCUCCCUGAUACUGUGGACCACGAAGGCAACUUCCAGCAGUAACCCAAAGUCAGAGCGACUGCGAGUGGUAGGUGUUUGGAGCUGAUUCAGGACAACCACAGCAGACACCGCAGCACAACUAAAGACGCACACAAAACAGGACGUCCAGAGCUGCUUCCGAAAGGGGUAAGUAGGGGCAUAAGUAUGUACAAAGCAGGGGUGAUGGUGAGGGGGAUUCGUGGCAGUGUGUCUUUUACUGUCAUCAAUGUUUUAAAUAUACGAAGACAUUUUUUAUCACACUUCAUAUAUUGGUGUCAGUGGUGGCAAUGGAGCCGUCUUAAGGGAUGUAGGGUUUUCAGGAAUUGGAAGCCUUUGGUUUUUAGAAGAGAUUUCAAGAUUUUGUACAACAAUGGCAAGCUAAAUAACAGCACUUAGUAUGUAAAUCCUUUUUCUGCUAAAAUAGUCGUUCCUCCUCUGUCUAAUGAGUCUUGCUCAGUUACUGCCAUGCCUGGAGUAAUUUCCUUGACAGGAAAGAGACUGUUCUCUGCUCCCCAGUGUCUCCAGAUCUGCAGCUAGAGUCCAUGUCCUGAGGUGGGUGGAGAGCUGUUCAUAAAAUAAAACUCAGUAGGACAAAGCUCACGCUUAGAGGACUGAGCAACGUUGCUCGUUUAUAUGAACAAGGUCCUAGAAUUAACGGUAGGGAUUGAUUCUGUGGGUAUUCCAU
This is a non-coding RNA of Heterocephalus glaber (naked mole-rat), 1311 nucleotides long. The record is from RefSeq and is a predicted model, not a curated record. NCBI's taxonomy places the organism in Eukaryota, Metazoa, Chordata, Mammalia, Rodentia, Bathyergidae.